RNAcentral lists this long non-coding RNA (10500 nucleotides) under Ananas comosus (pineapple). Its description in RNAcentral is "long non-coding RNA (ACOM_LNC020929)". The record is from RNAcentral. Lineage: Eukaryota; Viridiplantae; Streptophyta; Magnoliopsida; Poales; Bromeliaceae.
UAAUUUAUAGUUCCCAGUGGGUAAUUAUUGACCUUAGCAAAAUGCACCACUCGGCCCAAAAUAAGGUAAACAUGAUAAGGAACAAUAAUAAACUGCUGGUAUGAAAGCAUGUAUAAAAUGCUAAACUAUUAUUCUGCAAGAUAACAUGAUGUACAUCUAUUCUAUCAUGGAGAGGUAUGUUCAAUACAUAGCUUGUAUGUUCUAUCAUGGCAACAAGUAUGCUACUAUGCAACGAUCAAUACUAACAAAUAUACUAUAUAUCCAAAUGUCCAAAACUAUGCUACAAGCAUGUCCAAGUAAUCUAACUACUGAAAUCUAUCUAGUAGUGAUUGUCAAAUACCCGAUCGAUAUCAUUAUCCAAUUUUAAUCUAGGAUCUACACAAGUGUAGUCCGGCUUGUGCCGCCUAAGUGCCGUGGUAGCCCCAACAUUCCCCCUUGAGGAAUGAGUCUAUCCCACUCGGCCCCGUAGGCUCCCCAAUACCGCACGAACGAGCAUAAGUCGCGUAGGCUAACUCCGAAGUACCGGCUUCUAGGGAGCGACCCUCACAAGCAUGUGCGAAUGAGCACAAAUGGCAAGCAAGCGUAGUCAUCGUCUCAAGUACCCAAUCAUCAUGUCUCUAACAUGGUAAAAGCCACUAGCAACCCAACGGUCUAGUUCUAUGUCUCAAUGUGAAGUUCCAACAUUCACUAAGUCUAGUGCCUUUUUAUGAUACUAGCACGUUGCUGUACCCAAGCUUAUUCCAAAUUCCAUGCCUCUUCGUGGCAUUGUUUACUAGGUUCACACAUAACCCAAGCUCAAUGUCGCUUUAUGACAUUAGCUCACUAAUUCACAUAUCAUUCUAGUCUAAUGCCUCUUUAUGGCAUUUUACUUGCUCUUAUGUCCAACAUGAGAAUUAUAUCCAAUAGUACAUUACACUUAUCAUUUUCACUAUAUGAAACAUGAUCUCGAGUCACAUCUAGAAUGCUAGUCACAUUCAUAAGCCCAACCUGAAAAUCCUCUACUACAUAGGGGUCCAAAUAUACAUUGUAUAUAAUAUAUGCAUUCUAAGCAUUCUAAAAUUCACAAAUAAUGCAUCUAACACAAAUAUGCAUGAAAUUUCACUUUACGACGAGUAAAACCACCAUAGAGGGAAUUUUAUCCCAUUUUGAUGAGGCCAAACCCACCUAGAGCUCCUCGGAACCCUUCGUUCGCAUAAAAGGAGAUGACCACUAGCCUCCUAGCUCCCUAAAGAAAAUCCUUAAGGAGUUAAACACAAGGUACGAUCACACAAUGAAGAGAACAUAACCAACCCAAGAAAAGGGCUAAAACUUACCUAGAUUGGUGAAAGUCUCUCUCAAACUCCCAAUGAGAGUAAGAUCUCUUCAAAUCCAACCUAAACAAAGGUUCUAACUCAAUCAAUUGAGUUCCAAAAACUUCUAAUCCAAAAAUCCUCAAUAUAACCCUAAAUUUUCAUUUCUAGGGUUUCAUCUCAAAAAAUCUACUAAAUUAUGGAUCAAAAGGAGAAAACAAGUUUCUAACCGAUUAAGAAGCUCCAAACUAGGCUCCAAACCAACUAGGGUUGAAGAUUUCCUCUCAAACAAGCUACUCUCCAACCUCCAAGCCUUCAACAAUGGUGGAAUUUGCACUAAGAAGAAAAGAGAAGAGUUAAACCACAAAAAUCCAAGAGAAAUGGAGAUAAAAUCCAUAGACAGGAAGUGAGAAGCUCCCCUACCUCAAUCUCCUGUGUUCCCAGCUCAGGGAAAGCCCUAGGGGGUGUAGGGAUAUAAGUAGAGAAGCAACAAUGUAAAUACACCCCUGCAGAUCUGCCAGUUUGCAGUCUGGCAAAGUGUACCGGUACACGGGAAAGUGUACCGAUACAAAUCCCCCGAACACACAAACUGGAGCCUCGGUUUGGCAGAAAAUCAUAUUUGUACCGGUACAACCAUCAAGGUGUACCGGUACAAAACCUGUUCCGAUACAACUAUCAAGGCUGUACCGGUACACAGCCCUGCAAGGUGCAACCCAAGAGCAGCCUAAGUCCUCCAUUUUGGUGACCUUAGCGCUACUUUAAAUACCUCAAUUCUCGGGAUAUGAGCCAUAGGUCGGAACACUAUCAACGACCCUCCAGAAUAUCUGAAAAAACUCGGAACACUGAUCAAACACUCGAACCCCGCAAUUUGCAAAGGUCCAAUGUGUUACAAAAGUUGUAAUAGCUAGAACUAUCUCUCUCUUGUUCACUUGUAUAUGUACUUGUGAUUCUUGCUCUUGCUUGUAUCGCACUUGUGGUGUUUCAUGUAUGUUGUAUGUCAUCCCGGGCGACAAAAAUGUACAUGACUUUGUUGUUGAGCCUUGGGUGGACAGAGGAGGUGCUGUCCGUUCGGCGUCUGUUCGACGUGCCCGAACCGACCAAACUGGCGGUUGCGAGGCGUGACAAGCGCGGCCGCGCGAGAAAAGGGCGUAGCUCCGUAGAUAGCACCCUACCCCGAGACCAGAGAUAGUGGUACCCCGAAGUGGUCUAGCUUAGGGGGUUAGAGAUGAAAGAACAAACUUGUAAUAAUUUGUAAUAGAUGAUUGUAUUUGGAAGUUAAAUAUGAAAGAAAAUGUAAUAUGUAAAACCUGGGACGAAUACUUGUAAUAGCAUAACUGUAUUUAUGUUUUUGAUACUUCCUUAUGCAAUCUUUGCUUGAUUAUUGUUCCUGGUUGGGACCUCGUGCAUUAUAUGGAUUGUGACGCCUAGGACGUACAGGGGAGACUCUGUCCGUUCGUCGGUCUGUUGGCGUGCCCGAAUCCGACCAAAUAGCCGGGUGUCGGGACGUGACAGAUAAAGUAGUAUCAGAGCAUAAAGAGAACAAUAGAAAAUUGUUUAUACGGACCUAAGAGACCCUAGGAUAAUAAACCAUAGAGGUUAAGGCUCGUGAGAGACAAGGACUUGAGACUUGUGGCGAAAGAUGAACUGAUUGGGUUAUGUUGUAAACCUCUAAAACGGAUGUUAGAGGUAGACUCGAGGUGUGGUUUAUUCUCAACCGAGGGUAUUCAUGUUGGAUGCAUACAACAUGAAACCGAGUGAUGAGAAUAGACGCCCUUGUGUGACUUUCGCCUAAUUUGAGUCGGUAUUAGUUGUUUCGUACUCAACCUCGAGGGUCGAGAGUUGUCUGGGUUGUCCUGUUUCAGGAAGCGAUGGCACCGCGUAGGCGAUCUUCAUCUAGAUCGGCGCGGGAUGGGACAAGUGGUGUCCCUGAGCAGUCUGAGGCGAGGGGGGACUUGGAACUUCGAGAGCAGUUGACCACUCUCGUGGGAGUGGCGAGGCAACAAACCGAUUUGGUACAGCGACAGCAGGAGGCUGCCAUGCGCCAGGAGGAGUGAGUAAAGAGACUCUAGGAAACGGUGGAUCAGCUGGUGACCGCACCAGUUGCGGCCCAUUGAGUACUGCCAGGAGUCGCGGUGGAGGUGUUUGCGUCGGGGUCGGGCAAUCCGACUUCUAGUAUUUCAGAGGUGGAGGCGGAGAGGGAGCGAGCUUCGGCGGCCCUCAUGACCUUCAAAUAAUUUGAUCCUCUUACCUUUGAAGGAAAGAAUGCAAAUCCGUGGAUCAUGGAGGUGUGGAUUAACUCCAUGAAAACUCUUUUUGGGGAUCUGUACACUGUGGAGAGAGUCAAGGUACACCUAGCCGUACCUUGUCUGAAACAGUCGGUGAAGGUGUGGUGGAAAGGUGUCAAGCGGAACCGAUCGCCUAGUCUCCCUCCUAUGACUUGGGAAGAAUUUUGGGGAUUGAUAUUCUCUGCCUAUUUCCCCGACAGUGAAAGGAGAGAGCUUCAGGAGGAGUUCCGGAAGCUGCGGCAGGGAGACCUCACCGUGAGGGUGCAUGAGUGGGAAUUCUCCCGUAUCGUGAAUUGUGUCCCGAACGUGGUACGGGAUGACAAAGACCAAGCUGAUUGUUGGUACGGGGACUUCGGCCGGAGAUUUUCAAGGUUGUGCACAUUUUUAAGCUGCCAACUUUUGCCGAAGUCUUGGAUUGAGCAUUGUGAGCAGAACGAGGCAAUGCCUUCGCGUGUGAAGAGCGUGAAUCUCUUGGGCGAGAGAUGAGAGUAGUGCGAUUGAGGAGCAUUGCGGGCGGUCAAUCAAGCUCUAAGCGACCCCCGAGACAGUUGCAAUCGCAGUCUCAAACCCCAGAAGUGUCUUCUACUCAACUUUCUUCGGGAAGUAGGGUUGUAAGAGUUCUCCCCAGGCGCGGCGGUGUGCGCUGCGUGAUAGGAGAUGCAUUCCUUGUGGGCGGCCGGGCCGUGUGCUGGGUGAGUGCUCGCUGAGGGGUGACCGAUCAUUGGCAUUGGCGGCAGCCUUCUCCUCUCUGAGACAGCCUACGGUGUGUCACCUGCGGCAUGGUCUGGAGAGCGAGCGAUGAGGAGAAUGUGGCGACCGGAGGGUUCGCGACGGGCGUCGAAUGGCCAUGAGUGCACGACCCAGGUCGAGGAGCCUUGCAUGCAUUUAUCGUGUGCUCAUUUACUACUAACGAUGCAUCAGUGUAGUAGGGACCAAAUGGACGGGUAAGUGUAGAUACCCGGGCAUGCUUGCGUUGUGAGAGUGUAUCACCUGUGGAUGGCACUAGCGAAUUGCUGGUGAUGGCCUAUGGAUAAGAAGUAGGACUCAUCGUAGAGAUGGAAUUGGCGGACCAACUCUCAAAGCAAUAUGAGUAGUUGAUUGCGAGAGUUGAGCCGUGGUACUUGUGGAUCUCUUGAGAGUCCAGAAAUUUCGAAUAUUGUUCCGGUAGAUCGAACGGUGAAAGCGGAAUCACUGUUGAGAGAGUAACGGGUUGGAUGCCGAGUACGGGCACGUAGGCCUAGUAGUACCUCGAAUUGAGAUGGGUGAGUCAUGCUCGUGUGGCCGGUGUGCAUAGGCAAGGUUGCCUAAUGUGGACUUAGUGUGGGACGCUAUAGAAGCGUACAGCGCUCGAGUGUAGAUGCUCGUGGAGUGCGGAUUCGAUUCAGCCGAGAAAGUGAGUUGGCAGUAGCACUUCAGCAUUGCUAAGUGUGAAGCAGGCCAUGGAUCACUCGUAGAGCUGGUGGCUCGCACUAGGUGCUUAGGAGCCGAUAGUGGUACGUAUGGCUCGGUAGAGAGAAUGUCGUGUAGGAUGACGACGGCGGGCAUUGCUUGGGGAUGACCCGUGCCUGGAUCACUUGUAUACUGCAGAGCCUGGGGCCAUGUGGACAGGCGCAGUUGGCCGUGUAGAUCAGCGGCCCGGUACCUACGGGUAGGGCAGAGGUUUUGGUCAGGGCGAUAGUCCGAGCUUAGACCUCGGAGCGUAGAAUGCCACGUGUUGGAUCAUAUGAUCGAUGAUACACCGAGUGUGUAGUGACCCAACCCGAGGAUAUGACGUGGUUUGGGGUCAUGGUUGCUCCUGGUUGGAGUAUGUGCGAAUUCUCCAAUGAGAAUUUCGCCCAGUGAUAAUUGGGUCUACGUUGCGAGCGAGAGACGCUGCGCGUGAUCGAGACAGGUUUAGGCGGUAGGCCUACAUAGAGUUGGUGGCCGGUGAUCCACCCGUGGAAACCGAGGUGAGCAGUUUAGCCGAUAACUCUGUUGAGGAGUUUGGCUUGAAUUCACGAAUGGAGUGUUCGUGUAAGUUCGUUGUAGGAACGAAUUCGAGUUGGUCGUGGCAUAUGGUAUCGAAAGCUAAAGUGGUCUCUAAGAGACACUUGGAUAAUGGAUAGCCACGCAGAGAUUGAGAAUAAUGCUCUCUUGAGGAUUGAAAUUGGAGAUGUACCGAAGUGUGCCAUCUCGUGGUAGAGCAAAGAUCCGGUUGUGAUUAGAGCACUCGCGAUGGAGCGAUGCGCCCCUGAUAUUGCCUCUAAGCAAUGCCGGUGAUCGAAUAGGAGUGUGUUCCCUGAAGGGAUGAUGAAUGCAAGAAAGAGUUGUAUUUAGAGAUGUCAACGGGUCGGAUUCGGGGCGGAUUUUUAAAAAUCCGAACCUGAACCCGACUCAAAACCCGAGACCCGAACCCGAACUCGAACCCGACGGAUUUUAAAAAUCCAUAUCCAAACUCGAACCUGACCAAAAAUCUGGAACCCGAACCCGAACCCAAAAAUUUGAACCCGAAAUAGUUAUUUCUUUUUUCAACAUUUCAAAAUAUAUUAUAUUAAAUCUAAAUUUUUAAAAUAUAAAUUCAAAUAUAACAUCAAAUUUAAAUAUAUAUAUAUAUAUAUAUAUAUAUAUAUANNNNNUUCAAUAUUUCAAAAUAUAUUAUAUUAAAUCUAAAUUUUUAAAAUACAAAUUUAAAUAUAAUAAUAUAUAUAUAUAUAUAUUAUAAUACAAAAUAAAUUCGGGUUCGGGUUCUGGUCGGGUACAAUCAAAAUCCAUAUCCGAAUCCAUAUCCGUCGGGUUUCUAUUUUUUAUAUCCAUAUCCGAAUCCAUAUCCAUAUCCAUCGGAUAUAUCCGUUUCAUUCGGGUUUGGGUUCGGAUAAAAUUUCGGGUAUCCAUACCCAUUGACAUCCCUAGUUGUAUUAAACUCUUGGAUAGCCAAAGUGGUAGAAUGCCACUUUGUGAACGCUUGAGUGAUUCGAGAAGGCCUACCCGUGUGCAUUGUGUAGCGGUGGUGGAUCGUUUGGCUAGUUGAUGCAUUUUGGCAUAUCCACACCAUGAGGAUAAGGGGUAGUACUGAUCUCGAAGGAAAGUGGGAUCCAGUAGAGUGUGGAAGGACGAGUCCUUCGUUUGCUAGUUAGUGAGUGGUGUUCGAGCGUGUAGAGUCGUCGAGUGUCGACUUACGCUGCCACCGAGACUUGCGAAGCCGUAAUGCACUUUCGGUGUUGCGCUUAGCAAAUGUGAGUGAGUUUGGUCUCACAUCUUCCGUAGUGGGCCUUUGAACAGUUCCGAUGAGUGUAAGGCCACUCCGGAGUGGGAAAGUGCAUUGGUACCCUGAGUUGCUCGAUAACUCGAAUUAAGGAGUGAUUUGAGUUUCGAGGAAGAAACUCCUUUUAAGGAGAGGAGGGUGUAGCAUACCGAACUUCUAUAAUUAUGAAAUUACGAUAUAUGUUGGUUUGGAAAAUCAUUAGAGUGGUUCUGGUGAAGUUCGGAAGCAUUCGGGUGUUUUCGGUACCCGUCGGCCGCGAAAACGAAACCCGAAAAGCUAUGAUUGGACCUUGGCCGAAAUCUGGUAAGGCGUGGAUGGAAAGAUGGUUUAAACGCGCUCAAAAACAUGCGUGGGGGGUCUCGGUGCGAUUUGAGGCUAAUCGGAGACCUACGGAGCGAAAACGAGCGAAAACGGAGAAGAAAGGGCAAAAGGCUGAAAUUUUGGCUAAGUCUGGAAAGUGCAGUUUUUCUGGACCUAGGGGGUCCGAACCCCGAGGGCCAAGGUCCAGACCCUGAGCCCGAAAACAGCCCAGAAACAGCGGGGGGCUGAUUGUAAUUGUGGGAGAGUUGCUUUUAUAAAGGGGCCUUAACCCCUUUCUUCUUCUUCCUCAGCGAAACACCACACACCCACACAUAUGUAGAGAGAGAAACACCUCUCCCUCUCUCUAGAAUACUCUCUACUCUCUAUAGAUCUCUCUCCCAAACUUUGGGAUUUGGUGGAGAAGAACCUUGGGAACGCAUUGAGAGAGGCACCGACCUUAUCGAGAGAGGCAUCGAGUAGAUGUAUGCCCGUAGAUUUGCUGGAGCUGGAUGUGACGACUAAGAUGAUUGCCGCAUGUAGCAUGUUAUGUAAUGCUAUUUGAAUUUCAUCUUGUUUGAGAUGAUUGCAUCAUUUGCAUCCUUUGAUCGGCCAUUCACUGAGUUGAUUAGCAUUGAUUCUUUUCUCGAUGCAUGUAGGAUGAUUGGAUGAUCGGUGUGUCGUUUGGAACACCCUGCCUAGUGAGAGGGUUUUGUGUGCUAACAAAAUGGGUUGGCCCUACUUGCAAUGGAGUGGUUGUGAGGUACCUUGUACCCUUGGUCGUGCGAGCUAAAUUGACUCACUUUGAGAACUUGAGCACGAAGUAGUGCAUCUUGAGGGUCUGAUCUUGCUGGUUACGAUGACCGUCUCCUUACCAAAAUCAGGUAUUCUAUUGGAGGGGAUUUGGGGCCUAAUUGGCUGAUAACCUUUUAUGAUUGAGAAUCCUCGGAAUGAAGGAUAUCUUGUGGAGUUGUUGUUGUACUCCCGGCUAAGUCACAAAUUGUAAGCUCGAUUAGCAGAGAGGCUUUUGUGCCUAGUGUUUUACUUUGUGGAAAAGCAAUCUCACUUGUUGUGAGACUGGUGGGGUCAUUUCGACUAUGUGUCGCCUAUCGUGAUCUCAAUUGAAACACGACUAAGUAUCUGGACCCGUUGCUGAGACCCGUCGCCUAUCGUGUACUCAAUAGAUUGAAUUGCAAUCUGAGUAUUACUGUUUUGUGCUGGAGUUUAAGGUUGUACCUUAAACGGGUUUUGAUGUUGGGCUGGGACAUCACAAACUUAUUGUGAUGCCACCUAAGCUUUUAGUACUCCACCAGUUCUAGAGGCUUGCUGAAUGAUAAUUCCAAGCCCUUCUAGAUAGAUUUGUAGAAUCGGUUGUUGAUGGCCGUGAAGUACCCUGAUGAAGGAUUCGGAUUUGUAGCCUUCUUUGGCUUGGAAUGUCAAAAAGGGGAAUCAUCCAGCGACCCCUUGAGGAUUUGUGACGGAUGACUGCGUAGGUAGGCAGAUUGAUGCGAUUGAGGUGUGAGACUCUCACUAUUUGAUUGAGUGGUUUGGAAAACUCUAAGAGGGAAACUACCAAGUUUUCUAUUUUCCCUUUUUCGGGUUAUGCACAAGAGAAUUAAGUUCGUUGGAUAGAACUGCACAAGAGCUUAUGGAAUUGAUGUUUUAGUCAUCUCAGGAUGAACCCCGUAUACUUCAGAAACGAAUAGUGAUGCUUUGGUUGCGGUUUAGAACGGGAAAUUUGAUUGAACCCUUCCUUGAUUAUGGAAGUAUAUAUAUGAUGACAACGAUAGAGAGCUUAUUAACAAAGUAUGAAUUGAUCCCUCUCUAUCGCUUGAGCUGAGUUCGGUGACGACGGACACCUUGAGUAUCAAAUACUAAGAAAGGUAUUGAGGAUAAGAAUUUCGAUUGGUAUCAAGAGUAUUGAAACUGAGGAAAUGACCUUAGUGGAAUUUGUGAAGCUUUUGAGCAUCGACCCCCAACAACAUUUAUAGAUGUGAAAUCGAGAUUACCGCCGUAGUUGUGAAAUUGGAGAUGAUAUGGAGGCAUCGUGAUACAAUGCUGAAUGAUGAAUCAAGCGAUCACCUCUGGUGAGCUAGUUUGGAUGAUUCGUCGGCUUCCGUUACUAUCGGAAGGAAAUUUACCAUGGAUGUUGAUUUUGGAUUGAUCGUUGUCAACUCGACCUGAAUGGUGAAAUAUGCGAAUAGAAGCAUUAUGGAAGAAAAUUACACCAUGCUUGAUUGUGGAAUAAAAUUGCACUCAAUUGUGCAAUUUCUUGAUGAAUUUUGACCCUUGGGUUUGGAGGAUCAUUGUAGGGAUUUGGGUCGACGAUUGGAUUUUUACAUCGCCUCAUAUCGGUAAAUGAGAAUUGUGUUGAGCGCCCCAGUUGGAAAUUAGAGGGAUGUGUAUCGGGUGUAACCCCUGGAUUCUCCCGAUGGAUGAUACCGUUUGAAUCCUCCUCAGAAGGAUAUAUGAUUGAAAUUCCAUUCAUAAGAGCAAGAUGAGAAGAGCUAGACUUCGCUCUUGGCUUCCUUGAGGAAUUGGAAAUGGAAUUUAGCCCUGGGAGGCAAUGGAUUUCUCGUGGAUGAGUGAGGAACUCGUUGAGCGAGCACCGAUUAGAAAUGGAACUUUCCUAUGAGGACUUGAGUUCAUGGAACAUUGGUGGAAGGUUUGGUUUGCGAUGUGCUGAAUCUUCGGAAUUGUGGAUUUCCCUGUGUGAAGAUGCCUUGGAGUAAUCCGGCAUGCUCGAGACCUUUGGGAUAUGUUCUGUGCACUGUUAGAGCGCUUCUUUCAUCCUUUUCGGAUGGAUUUGUAGUGUGGUUGAUUUGUAGUUUCACGGACGAAACUCCUUUUUAGGAGGGGAGAAUAUAACACACUGAACUUUAGCAAAUUGUGAGGUUCCAGUGUUAGAAUAGCAUUUUGGGUUAUUCCGGAUGUUUAAAAUUUAAAAUUUAAAAUCUAUGUUGAAAUUUAAAAGUUAGAACUUGAUGCAUCUUUGCCCAAGAAUGGUGGAAUUCUUUUUCUUUGGUUAGAGUGGAUUAUAUUUUUACUCCAUUUUUUGGAGUGUAGUUUAAUUAUAGGCCAAUUUGCAUAAAAAAUCCACUUAUUUUGGGCUUUUGCAAAACCGGGCCACCUUUUUCGUUUUUGCAAAUUCGGUCCGCUUUUUCAGCAAACUGACCAAAAUACCCUUAUUACUUUUUCUCUUUCCUCUUUCUCUUUUCUCUUUGUUCUCCCGUUCUUUUUUUUUUUCGCCGAAAAAAAAAAAGCGACGGCCGGAGCACCGCCAGGCGGGCUCUUCUUCUUCUUCUUUUUCCUACAGGAGCAAUUUUUUUUUCUCUUUUUCUUUUUCUUCUUCUUCUUCCUCCUGCUGGAGCUUUUUUUUUUUUCCCUC